GGGAGUGUAGCUCAGAGGUGGAGUAUUUGCCUAGAAUGCAGAAUACUGUAGUUUCAAGUUUCUAUCCCUAUCA
This 73-nucleotide transfer RNA is filed under the name Cavia porcellus (domestic guinea pig). It matches the Rfam family "tRNA". From Rfam's summary of the family: Transfer RNA (tRNA) molecules are approximately 80 nucleotides in length. Their secondary structure includes four short double-helical elements and three loops (D, anti-codon, and T loops). Lineage: Eukaryota; Metazoa; Chordata; Mammalia; Rodentia; Caviidae. The record is from Rfam by way of RNAcentral.